AUGGCAGUGCAUCAGCCACACCCCGGGGUUGUCGGCGACGAACCGGAUGACAGCCCACCCAUUCAGCGGGACGCCCACCGUGUUCCUCAUUGGUGGGUCGUCGAGGUUGAACUUUGCGGUGUCGGUAGCGGCAUCGAAGUUGCCGAAGCCCUCAGCGAGGAUGAAGAAGUCGUAGCCAUGGGUGUGGAUAGGGUGGUUCUCCCCGGCGAAGAUGUUGGUGCCCUGGAGCACGAUCUGCACCACGGAGCCGUACUUGAGCUUGUACACCUUGGUGCCUGGCACGGGCUGCCAGAGCGCGCGGCUCACAUUCUGCGCCGUGUAGUCGAACUGCACCGGCGGGUUGGCGGGGAAGUCGGUGGUGAAGACGCCGGUGGCGGCGGCAUCGCCCUGGUAGUGUGCCUGGAGGAUGGAGACGGUGGAGGGGAGAACGAAGGAGGCGUUGUUGAUGCUCGCCGCGAACCGCGUGUUGUUGGGGCCGCCGCAGUUCUGUCCGCUGGAGCAGUUGAAGAGGCCGACGCCGACGGUGAAGAAAAGGUCCUCGUCGACCGCCGAGGGGAGGCCCACCGAGUGGAGGUUGCGCAGGCUCGUUGUGAACGUGGUGACCGUGGCCGUGUCAUUGUACGCUGGGAGGGUCGGCAUCGCCGGGCUCGCCGUGCCACCGGCGCCGUAGUCGAAGAUGGCGGUGGUGGUGGUGUUGUCGAAGGGCACACCCUGCGCGCUGGCGUAGGCGCGGGCGGCGAGGUAGUACCGGCCCGGCGGCUGGUCGAAGGUGACGAGGACGUCCGUGGUCUGGCCGGGCCCGAGCACGAUGACAGUGGUGUUGUACGGCUUGAGGUAGGAGGCGUCGGCGCCCACGACGGUCAUGGUGUGGCCGGCGAGGGAGACGAAGAGCUCGGUGUUGAGCGCGGCGUUGAUGAAGCGCAACAGGUUGGUCUCGCCGGACUUGACCGGGAACACGGUCGUGUCUUGGGAGGAGCAGCUGUAGAGGUCGCCGGGUUGGCCGUUGACGGUGAUGGCGUCGGAGACGUUGGGAGCUGCACCGGUGCGCGUGGCGGUGCGGAUGACGUCGAUGGGGUUCAUGUCCCACCACUCACCUGCGCGCAUGCAGCCAGAUUAUUAGUUGCAGAAAACGGUACUGUACUAUCUAUCUAG
RNAcentral lists this ribosomal RNA (1152 nucleotides) under Triticum aestivum (bread wheat). RNAcentral describes it as "partial small subunit ribosomal RNA". Lineage: Eukaryota; Viridiplantae; Streptophyta; Magnoliopsida; Poales; Poaceae. The record is from RNAcentral.